UAAAUGCGAAAUUUUAAUAUGUUAUAUUUCUAGGUACGUUUUAAAUAGAAAGUUUCUUUGCUUUUUGUUUGUGGCGACUUCUGCACAAAACUUUAUUUAUGAUUACUUACAUUUAUACCUACUAAUAAAUAAUUCACAUACUUACACCAUACAAUGGUAAUAUUAACAUUAAUGGGUUUCUAUGGAGUAGAUGAGAGAACUUUAGACAUAAUAUUUAAUGAAAUAACCAAAUAAUUAACACAGAAAUCAUACUCAAUCAAAUUGAAGUGCCUUAUAUCCGAGAUUUUUGUACUUACGAAUUUGUGUAGAACAAAAAGCGAGAAGGUAAUGUGAAUUACCUAAUUAAUUUGACUGAAUUGUAAUUUUAUCCUUCAGUGUAACUCCAUAAUGACAUUUGAAAAUGACUGUGUUCAUCUGUGUAU
This is a long non-coding RNA of Pararge aegeria (speckled wood butterfly), 422 nucleotides long. RefSeq lists it as uncharacterized. The transcript is spliced from 5 exons. The record is from RefSeq and is a predicted model, not a curated record. NCBI's taxonomy places the organism in Eukaryota, Metazoa, Arthropoda, Insecta, Lepidoptera, Nymphalidae.